CAAUCAUCUACUGGUCUUCCGCCUCUUUAUUUCAACAUCUUAAUCUACUGGAUUUUUCUCUUCCGCCUCAUUAUUUCAACAUCUUCAUCACAAAUAAGAACGCCAGAUCUGCCCCUUUUGUAUUCGUGUUUUUUCAUCUGUAAUGUGUAUGCUUUGUUUAUGAAUUAGGGUUUUCCAAGACGUGCAUAUGAAUCAGUUAUCCAUUUUGAUUAACCAUGUGUUCAACCCGUUUUGAGUUUAUCCUGAUUUGAUUCACCCUCUUCUCAAUCGGAAUUGAGUUUAUCCCGUUUUGAUUAACCAUAUUCAUAAAGCAAACAAUCGACGGAUUCAAGCUUCGAAACGCGGGAGAUGAAUAUAUAUGUUGCUUACAUGGAACACUUACUACAUGAAGAUAAGGACCUAACUACUGAAAACCUUCA
Molecule: long non-coding RNA, 419 nt
Organism: Helianthus annuus (common sunflower)
Lineage: Eukaryota; Viridiplantae; Streptophyta; Magnoliopsida; Asterales; Asteraceae
Exons: 3
Source: RefSeq, a predicted model, not a curated record